Molecule: ribosomal RNA, 265 nt
Filed under: uncultured bacterium
Lineage: Bacteria
Description: partial 16S ribosomal RNA
Rfam family: Bacterial small subunit ribosomal RNA
Source: RNAcentral
GCAGUCGAGCGGCAGCGCGGGGGCAACCCUGGCGGCGAGCGGCGAACGGGUGAGUAAUACAUCGGAACGUGCCCAGUAGUGGGGGAUAACCAGUCGAAAGAUUGGCUAAUACCGCGUACGACCUACGGGUGAAAGCGGGGGACCGCAAGGCCUCGCGCUAUUGGAGCGGCCGAUGUCGGAUUAGCUAGUUGGCGGGGUAAUGGCCCACCAAGGCGACGAUCCGUAGCUGGUCUGAGAGGACGACCAGCCACACUGGAACUGAGAC